UACGGGGGGAGCAAGCGUUGUUCGGAAUUACUGGGCGUAAAGCGCGUGUAGGCGGUUGUCCAAGUUGGAUGUGAAAGCCUUGAGCUUAUCUCAAGAAAUGCAUUCAGGACUGGAUGGCUAGAGGACCGGAGAGGAUAGUGGAAUUCCCAGUGUAGUGGUGAAAUACGUAGAGAUUGGGAAGAACACCAGUGGCGAAGGCGGCUAUCUGGACGGUUUCUGACGCUAAGACGCGAAAGCGUGGGGAGCAAACAGG
RNAcentral lists this ribosomal RNA (253 nucleotides) under uncultured bacterium. RNAcentral's name for it is "partial 16S ribosomal RNA". It matches the Rfam family "Bacterial small subunit ribosomal RNA", at positions 524 to 776 of the family's 1533-position model. The record is from RNAcentral.